GACGAACGCUGGCGGCGUGCCUAAUACAUGCAAGUCGAACGCACAGUUUAUACCGUAGCUUGCUACACCAUAGACUGUGAGUUGCGAACGGGUGAGUAACGCGUAGGUAACCUGCCUGGUAGCGGGGGAUAACUAUUGGAAACGAUAGCUAAUACCGCAUAAUAUUGAUUAUUGCAUGAUAAUUGAUUGAAAGAUGCUAUUGCAUCACUACCAGAUGGACCUGCGUUGUAUUAGCUAGUAGGUGAGGUAACGGCUCACCUAGGCGACGAUACAUAGCCGACCUGAGAGGGUGAUCGGCCACACUGGGACUGAGACACGGCCCAGACUCCUACGGGAGGCAGCAGGAGGGAAUCUUCGGCAAUGGACGAAAGUCUGACCGAGCAACGCCGCGGGAGUGAAGAAGGGUUUCGGAUCGUAAAGCUCGGUUGUAAGAGAAGAACGGGUGUGAGAGUGGAAAGUUCACACUGUGACGGUAUCUUACCAGAAAGGGACGGCUAACUACGUG
This 505-nucleotide ribosomal RNA is filed under the name uncultured bacterium. RNAcentral describes it as "partial 16S ribosomal RNA". It matches the Rfam family "Bacterial small subunit ribosomal RNA", at positions 28 to 507 of the family's 1533-position model. The record is from RNAcentral.